GAGGGUGGUGGUGCACUCCUGUAAUCCCAGCUACUUGGGAGGCUGAGGCAGGGGGAUCACAAGUUUGAGGCCAGCCUGGGCAACUUAGUGACACCCUGUCUCAA
RNAcentral lists this small RNA (104 nucleotides) under Marmota monax (woodchuck). The record is from RNAcentral. Lineage: Eukaryota; Metazoa; Chordata; Mammalia; Rodentia; Sciuridae.